CCUACGGGCGGCAGCAGUGAGGAAUAUUGGUCAAUGGACGCGAGUCUGAACCAGCCAAGUAGCGUGAAGGAUGACUGCCCUAUGGUUGUUAAACUUCUUUUAUAAAGGAAUAAAACGUGGCACGUGUGCCUGUUUGCAUGUACUUUAUGAAUAAGGAUCGGCUAACUCCGUGCCAGCAGCCGCGGUAAUACGGAGGAUCCAAGCGUUAUCCGGAUUUACUGGGCGUAAAGCUCUCGUAGGCGGUAUGUCAAGUCAAGGGUGAACUCCCCGCGCUCAACGUGGGAACUGCUUUUGAAACUGGCAAACUGGAGUGUAGGAGAGGAUAGUGGAAUUCCAGGUGUAGGAGUGAAAUGCGUAGAUAUCUGGAGGAACAUCAGUGGCGAAGGCGACUAUCUGGCACAUAACUGACGCUGAGGAGCGAAAGCGUGGGUAGCAAACAGGAUUAGAUACCCCGGUAGUC
This 460-nucleotide ribosomal RNA is filed under the name uncultured bacterium. RNAcentral describes it as "partial 16S ribosomal RNA". It matches the Rfam family "Bacterial small subunit ribosomal RNA", at positions 338 to 795 of the family's 1533-position model. The record is from RNAcentral.